UGGGGAAUAUUGCACAAUGGGCGAAAGCCUGAUGCAGCAACGCCGCGUGAGUGAUGAAGGUCUUCGGAUUGUAAAGCUCUGUCUUUUGGGACGAUAAUGACGGUACCAAAGGAGGAAGCCACGGCUAACUACGUGCCAGCAGCCGCGGUAAUACGUAGGUGGCAAGCGUUGUCCGGAUUUACUGGGCGUAAAGGGUGCGUAGGUGGAUAUUUAAGUCAGAUGUGAAACCCCUGGGCUCAACUCAGGGACUGCAUUUGAAACUGGAUAUCUGGAGUGCAGGAGAGGUAAGUGGAAUUCCUAGUGUAGCGGUGAAAUGCGUAGAGAUUAGGAAGAACACCAGUGGCGAAGGCGACUUUCUGGACUGUAACUGACGCUGAGGCGCGAAAGCGUGGGGAGCAAACA
This 402-nucleotide ribosomal RNA is filed under the name uncultured bacterium. RNAcentral describes it as "bacterial SSU rRNA". It matches the Rfam family "Bacterial small subunit ribosomal RNA", at positions 355 to 774 of the family's 1533-position model. The record is from RNAcentral.